Molecule: ribosomal RNA, 460 nt
Filed under: uncultured bacterium
Lineage: Bacteria
Description: partial 16S ribosomal RNA
Rfam family: Bacterial small subunit ribosomal RNA
Source: RNAcentral
CCUACGGGUGGCAGCAGUGAGGAAUAUUGGUCAAUGGACGAGCGUCUGAACCAGCCAAGUAGCGUGAAGGAUGACUGCCCUAUGGGUUGUAAACUUCUUUUAUAUGGGAAUAAAAUGUUCCACGUGUGGGAUUUUGUAUGUACCAUAUGAAUAAGGAUCGGCUACCUCCGUGCCAGCAGCCGCGGUAAUACGGAGGAUCCGAGCGUUAUCCGGAUUUAUUGGGUUUAAAGGGAGCGUAAGUGGAUUGUUAAGUAAGUUGUGAAAUUUUGCGGCUCAACCGUAGAAUUGCAGUUGAACCUUGCAGUCUUGAGUACAGUAGAGGUGGGCGGAAUUCGUGGUGUAGCGGUGAAAUGCUUAGAUAUCACGAAGAACUCCGAUUGCGAAGGCAGCGCACUGGACUGCAACUGACACUGAGGCUCGAAAGUGUGGGUAUCAAACAGGAUUAGAUACCCCUGUAGUC